UACGUAGUGUCCGAGCGUUGUCCGGAAUUAUUGGGCGUAAAGGGCUCGUAGGCGGUUUGUCGCGUCGGGAGUGAAAACAUCGGGCUUAACUCGAUGCUUGCUUUCGAUACGGGCAGACUAGAGGUAUGCAGGGGAGAAUGGAAUUCCUGGUGUAGCGGUGAAAUGCGCAGAUAUCAGGAGGAACACCGGUGGCGAAGGCGGUGCUCUGGGCACUACCUGACGCUGAGGAGCGAAAGCAUGGGGAGCGAACAGG
Molecule: unclassified non-coding RNA, 253 nt
Filed under: uncultured Nocardioidaceae bacterium
Lineage: Bacteria; Bacillati; Actinomycetota; Actinomycetes; Propionibacteriales; Nocardioidaceae
Description: contains 16S-23S intergenic spacer region
Rfam family: Bacterial small subunit ribosomal RNA
Source: RNAcentral